UUCAAUGUAAACAGCAUUGCGAAGCGAAAAUAACGUUGACGUAUAAUUGUUUUCAGGUGAUUUCGUUUUCAAAAUAGUGUUUUCUUCUUUUCAAAAGAUAAUUUCACAACUAAUUUAAUUGUCUUUAUAUUUUGUAUUGUGAGAUUUGCCUGAUAUGCUGAGGUUUCUUACCAAAGUAUUACCUGGUACUGAUACUAUUAUAUUGAGAAUAUUGGCAAACACAUUUUGACAAGACUCCAGUGAUUGAUCAUAUUUUAAUUGAAGGUACCUCAGAUGAGCAGGAGACUGCUGAACCUGAUAAUGUCGCAGACUUUGACGCAGAAACUCAACAAAUCAAUUAUCAAUACUAUCACAAAGAGGCCUCACAAGCUUGAAGUCUGAAAACAUCAAUGGCAAAUGCCCAGGCUGCAGCAAUAUCCAAAAGUGAAGUGGCUGUAGUGUCAGCUAUGACUAAUGUGUGCUUUGCUGCACAACAUACUCUCGCAUCAUCGCUGGUUCCAGACCUGAAUAGAUUGUGUGUCUUGCAGGGUGCAACCCAGCUCAAUGACCUUCGAGUUGACAACCACACGUCAUAUGAACACAGCUCCAGUGUGUCGGAAUUUCAAAACUGUAUGGCAGACGUUCUGAGGAGUGAUCUUCUCCAGAAGAUACAUACAUCAUGCAAGUACAGUAUCAUGAUCGAUGAGAGUACAGGCAUUUCAGUGAAGCAAAAUUUAGUGACCUAUGUUAGACUUUUGGAAACUGAUGAGUUUGGAAUGGCUGAACUUCAAAGAGCAAAUGCAGAGAGCAUAUAUGAGAAUGUAGUUAAUUUGCUUUGUAGAAAGGGAUUUGACAUUCAACACCUCUCAAAAAUUCUAUUAAAAUUGAAAACUUGGAGAACUUGUUGAUUUUUCCAUAAACAGCCCACCAAUGGAAAAGUUUUAUUUCAAACGUGCUUUCAAGAUUUGGGCUGGAUUGAAGUUGAAGCGGAUUAUGGCUUUCUGCUAAAAUAUAUGUUCAGGAUAGCAUGUGCUCAUGUAAUGUAAAUUUAUCAUGUGCUUACUUUAUGAACAUGUUCUUGAGUUAUGAUGUGAGUUUAUCUAUAAAUGUUUUGUUGUACUGUUGUUGUUUUUUUGUUAUGCACACAUGAUGUGAAUUAUGGCUUUCUGCUAAAAUGUAUAUUCAGGAUAUCUUGUGCUCAUGUAAUGUAUAUUUAUCAUAUGCUUAUUUUAUGAACAUGUGCCUGAGUUAUAAUGUAUGUACUUCUAUAAUUGGUUUGUUGUUAACUGUUUAUUUUUGUUAUAAUCACAUGAUGAUUAUAGUAAUAAACAUAUUAAAGCUU
Long non-coding RNA from Dreissena polymorpha, 1321 nucleotides. RefSeq lists it as uncharacterized. The transcript is spliced from 3 exons. NCBI's taxonomy places the organism in Eukaryota, Metazoa, Mollusca, Bivalvia, Myida, Dreissenidae. The record is from RefSeq and is a predicted model, not a curated record.